Molecule: ribosomal RNA, 253 nt
Filed under: uncultured bacterium
Lineage: Bacteria
Description: partial 16S ribosomal RNA
Rfam family: Bacterial small subunit ribosomal RNA
Source: RNAcentral
GACAGAGGGUGCAACCGUUGUUCGGAAUUACUGGGCGUAAAGCGUGUGUAGGCGGCCAAGCAAGUCGGAUGUGAAAGCCCCAGGCUCAACCUGGGAAGUGCACCCGAUACUGCUUGGCUUGAGUAUCGGAGAGGUUGGUGGAAUUCUCGGUGUAGAGGUGAAAUUCGUAGAUAUUCGGAAGAACACCAGUGGCGAAGGCAGCGGGUUGGCCCUUAAUUGACGCUCAGGCACGAAAGCAUGGGGAUCAAACAGG